RNAcentral lists this ribosomal RNA (800 nucleotides) under uncultured ciliate. Its description in RNAcentral is "bacterial SSU rRNA". It matches the Rfam family "Eukaryotic small subunit ribosomal RNA", at positions 48 to 936 of the family's 1831-position model. Lineage: Eukaryota; Ciliophora. The record is from RNAcentral.
GCCAUGCAUGUCUAAGUAUAAGUUAUACAAAGCGAAACUGCGAAUGGCUCAUUAAAACAGAAAUAAUUUAUUUGACGAUCUUCUUACAUGGAUAACCGUGGGAAACUGGGGCUAAUACAUGCGAAAAUGCCUAACGGCUGUAUUUAUUAGUUUCAAACCUUUAAUAACUUCGUUAUUUAGUGAGGAAUCAUAAUAACUAAUCGGAGCGAUGAAAGUCGCUACAUCAUUCAAGUUUCUGCCCUAUCAGCUUGAUGGUAGUGUAUUGGACUACCAUGGCAAUCACGGGUAACGGGGAAUUAGGGUUCGAUUCCGGAGAAGGGGCCUGAGAAACGGCUACUAUUUCUAAGGAAGGCAGCAGGCGCGUAAAUUACCCAAUCCUGACUCAGGGAGGUAGUUAAUGGAAAUAACCAGUCCGUCUCAUAGAGACUUGGACUAGUAAUGAAUAGAAUUUAGAAACUUCUUUGAAUACUAUUGGAGGGCAAGUCUGGUGCCAGCAGCCGCGGUAAUUCCAGCUCCAAUAGCGUAUAUUAAAGUUGUUGCAGUUAAAAAGCUCGUAGUUGAAAUUCGGCGUAUGCCUGUUUGCUCGUCUUAGGAUACUUAUGUUUCUUAAGAACGACAGACGUUUACUGUGAAAAAAUUAGAGUGCUCAAAGCAAGUUUAGCUUGAAUAAUUUAGCAUGGAAUAAUAAAAUAAGACUCCUUUCAUUUUAUUGGUUUUUGAAAGGUGGAAUGAUUAACAGAAACAGUUGGGGGCAUUUGUAUUUGAUAGUCAGAGGUGAAAUUCUUAGAUUUAUCAAAGAC